UUCACUCCAAGAUUGUAAGCGUUGAAAUGAGGAUUAUUUUGAAAGGUUGCUUGCACCAUACAUUGAGCUUCUAGUUGUUUGGUAAUGAUUUGUAGAAAGACAUUAUUGAACUUGCAACUAGUUAAAAGUGCCUCUUGAUUGUAUGAUUCAAACAUAUCUUCCUUCCUCCUUACGAUUUGCUCGUGCUGCUAUCUCAAUUUCAGAAUCGAAAUCCAGCUUAAUUGGACCUGUUCUCCGCAUGCACAAUGAAGCACACAAGUAGAACGCUCCGGGAGAAAAAUAUAAGACAGAAAAAUAAAGAAAACACAGAAAAUAUGAACACUAUCGCCUUGUCGAAUCAAUCACAAUCCCC
Molecule: long non-coding RNA, 352 nt
Filed under: Trifolium pratense (red clover)
Lineage: Eukaryota; Viridiplantae; Streptophyta; Magnoliopsida; Fabales; Fabaceae
Description: long non-coding RNA (TPRA_LNC010819)
Source: RNAcentral